This 563-nucleotide ribosomal RNA is filed under the name cf. Bantua sp. MNHN BL632. RNAcentral's name for it is "SSU rRNA". It matches the Rfam family "Eukaryotic small subunit ribosomal RNA", at positions 50 to 602 of the family's 1831-position model. The record is from RNAcentral. Lineage: Eukaryota; Metazoa; Arthropoda; Insecta; Blattodea; Blaberidae.
CAUGCAUGUCUCAGUGCAAGCCGCACUAAGGUGAAACCGCGAAUGGCUCAUUAAAUCAGUUAUGGUUCCUUAGAUGGUGGACAGUUACUUGGAUAACUGUGGUAAUUCUAGAGCUAAUACAUGCAACUCGGUCCCGACCGGAAGCGGAAGGGACGCUUUUAUUAGAUCAAAACCAAUCGGGCGCUUGCGUCCGUUUGCCUUGGUGACUCUGAAUAAAUUGUGGCAGAUCGCACGGUCUCCGUACCGGCGACGCAUCUUUCAAAUGUCUGCCUUAUCAACUGUCGAUGGUAGGUUCUGCGCCUACCAUGGUUGUAACGGGUAACGGGGAAUCAGGGUUCGAUUCCGGAGAGGGAGCCUGAGAAACGGCUACCACAUCCAAGGAAGGCAGCAGGCGCGCAAAUUACCCACUCCCGGCACGGGGAGGUAGUGACGAAAAAUAACGAUACGGGACUCAUCCGAGGCCCCGUAAUCGGAAUGAGCACACUUUAAAUCCUUUAACGAGUAUCCAUUGGAGGGCAAGUCUGGUGCCAGCAGCCGCGGUAAUUCCAGCUCCAAUAGCGUAU